GCGGUUCUGUACAAGUGCGGACGAGGGAGCUCUUGUACUGUGUAUCUUUGCUUUUACAACAUCAGAUGUUAUGUAAACCGCCUCGUAGAUGAGAAAACCCAAACGAAAAACAAGCACCCUCUAAAAUUAAAACCUGAGCUCUUGCCAAUGCCGUUUUCUUUUUAUCCACAACCUUAGGUCUCUGUCUAUAGUGGUAUUUUUUUACCAUCUAAAGAUAAAGGCAUAGUGAUUGAUGAUGGGGAGACGCCCAAGUAUUGCUCUCUCCAGAAAUACACAUUGUUCCUUUUAUAAAAAAAAAAAAAAGUCUAGCGAGAAGGGACUGGCUGCAGUCUCAGACUGGUUCCAGCCAGAUAAGUCCCUGCUUUAUUUUUUAUUUUUUUGUCUUAUCUGAUAUUGAAUCACUCUUGCCUUGUUUGUCUAAAAGGAACCAGGAAGACGUUUUUCUAAUCAACAGAAAAUAACCUUCUAGCAACAGAGAACUCUGAGAGCUUCAUAUCCCUCCCACUAGCUGAUGACAGAGUUGAAGCAGGAUCCAUUACAGCUCAGGAGACAGGCACGUACUCAAGAAAGCACAUUGGAAAAUUCAAGAAGACUCUGCAUAUCCAGGGGACGAGAGAGGACGCAAGGUGCAACUUUUGCAGAAGACUAUUUUUAAGAUUAUUUUGUCUUUUUUAAAUUUUUUAAAUUUUUUGUGGAUUUAUUUGAAAAGAAAAGUGAAGAGAUCAUUCUAUUGCUUUUUUUAUGUUUUUUUUUAAAUGCUUCUAUUACUUUUUUAAUCUACCAAGACCAAAAGCGAACAAUUCUUAUGCUUUCUGUCAAGGACUUGAAUGAUAUUGGGCCACGUGUUUGGAAAGGUGAUUUUGUUUAUUCAUUUUUGUUUUUACGUGCAAUGUAUUUUCUGUAACUUGCCAAUAUUAUAUCAUUUUAUUAUUUACAGUGAUUGUUUUAAUAAAUGGCUUUCACAUCGAA
Molecule: long non-coding RNA, 969 nt
Organism: Bufo gargarizans (Asiatic toad)
Lineage: Eukaryota; Metazoa; Chordata; Amphibia; Anura; Bufonidae
Exons: 2
Source: RefSeq, a predicted model, not a curated record